AAAGGCGUGUUUGUCCAAAUUACUGUAAAAGAAGCUGGAUUCAAAACAACCAAACAUCACUGACCUGGAAGAAAAAUAAAACAAAAAUGUGUAAAUAUAAAGUUUACAGCAUUAGUUACUUGACAGGAAAAACAUGGGAAAUAAACUACAGGAAAAAAUCCAAAAACGUGGUCUUUGAAAAAGACUGCAGGUGUCUAUUUAAAGGAAAGAAAGAGGCAAUAUUAGUAUCUAAGAGAAUAACUAAAGCUGGGAAGAUAAGAGGUCAAUUCUACCUUCUACCAAUUUCAAAAAACAACAAACAAAAAACAAAAAGAUUGAUAAAAAAGUUGAAAAAGGAUAUAAGAAUAAAAAACAAAAAAAAACAUAAGUUGUACCAGCAAGUCAAAGAAAAAAAUUAUGAAAGAGAAAACAAAAAGUGAAUAAGGAAUACGAAUUUGCUUUUAAACUUUUUUUUAACCAUUUUUUUCAAUCUCCCUUUUCACAUGCAUUUUAGAAGGGGCGUGACCUUUUUUGGGACGUCGGGAUCAGGUGUUUCUAAGCUCACGAUUUCAGGAUUGACCCUUUUGGGAUCUGGGAUUUUUUUUUUCAAAUUUUGGGCAUUCAGGAUUUUUUUUUAAAUUCGGGGACCUCUGGGUAAUUUGUUUUUACCCCAGGAUUUUGGAAUCUGGACCCCUCCAACUCUCCCUCAUUUCAAUAUGGGAAGUUUGUCGAUUUAAUAUAUGCCAAUAAAAAUAAUGAAGAUUU
Molecule: long non-coding RNA, 744 nt
Organism: Mytilus trossulus (common blue mussel)
Lineage: Eukaryota; Metazoa; Mollusca; Bivalvia; Mytilida; Mytilidae
Exons: 2
Source: RefSeq, a predicted model, not a curated record